UGUUCAACAUGCCAUGUCAUAGUGGGUAUGCUAAUCAAACGUCAUGCUGUUGAUUGAUUCAUAAUAAUUCAUAAUCUUCUUUCAAACAAACUAUUUAACUUUUUUUGCUAGGAUAUGGAGUACUAUAAUAAUUAGAAGAUCCAUGUGAUGAGGAGAAUGACAUGUUGGACCUCGCCUUUGGUCUUACAGAAACGUGUUGACCAGGAUGUCAAUAAUCGCAAGGCCUGAACUGGAUGGAAUCCGUUUAGCAAUCCCUUCCGCCACUAGAAACUUUGCUGUUGAUGGGUAUGUUUUAAAACCACAUUUGAAAAAUACAACACCUGACCCUGGUUAAAUGAUCAUAAAGAAUGCGGUCAUUCAGUUUUGUACCUUCUCAUUUGUAUUGAAUCAACAAGCAUCAAAUCUCCUUGAGUGAUUAUUUUGGCAUUAA
Hibiscus syriacus is the source of this 430-nucleotide long non-coding RNA. RefSeq lists it as uncharacterized. The record is from RefSeq and is a predicted model, not a curated record. The transcript is spliced from 2 exons. Lineage: Eukaryota; Viridiplantae; Streptophyta; Magnoliopsida; Malvales; Malvaceae.